CAGCAGCCACGGGAAUACAGAGGGUGCGAGCGUUAAUCGGAUUUACUGGGCGUAAAGCGUGCGUAGGCGGCUAAUUGAGUCGGAUGUGAAAUCCCCGAGCUUAACUUGGGAAUUGCAUUCGAUACUGGUUAGCUAGAGUGUGGGAGAGUAUGGUAGAAUUCCAGGUGUAGCGGUGAAAUGCGUAGAGAUCUGGAGGAAUACCGAUGGCGAAGGCAGCCAUCUGGCCUAACACUGACGCUGAGGUACGAAAGCAUGGGGAGCAAACAGGAUUAGAUACCCCGGUAGUCCCUGUCUCUUAUAA
Molecule: ribosomal RNA, 301 nt
Filed under: uncultured bacterium
Lineage: Bacteria
Description: partial 16S ribosomal RNA
Rfam family: Bacterial small subunit ribosomal RNA
Source: RNAcentral